Molecule: long non-coding RNA, 533 nt
Organism: Cydia amplana
Lineage: Eukaryota; Metazoa; Arthropoda; Insecta; Lepidoptera; Tortricidae
Exons: 2
Source: RefSeq, a predicted model, not a curated record
GGUUCGAAUCCCGGUAAGGGCAUUUAUUUGUGUGAUGAACACUAAUAUUUGUUCCGGAGUCAUGGAUGUUUUCUAUGUAUAUAAGUAUGUAUUUAUCUAUAUAAGUAUGUAUAUCGUCGCCUAGCACCCAUAGUACAAGCUUUGCUUAGUUUGGGGCUAGGUUGAUCUGUGUAAGAUGUCCCCUGAUAUUUAUUUUAUUUAUUUAUUUAAAAGCGGUGGUGGCCGAGUGGAUAUGACGCCCGACUUUCAAUCCGGAGGUCACGGGUUCAAAUCCUGGCUCGUACCAAUGAGUUUUUCGGAACUUAUGUACGAAAUAUCAUUUGAUAUUUACCACUAGCUUUUCGGUGAAGGAAAAUAUCGUGAGGAAACCUGCAUACAUCUGCGAAGAAAUUCAAAGGUGUAUGUGAAUCCCCAAUCCGCAUUGGGCUAGCGUGGGGACUCUAGCCCGAGCCCUCUCGCACAUGAGAGGAGGCCUGUGCCCAGCAGUGGGACGUAUAAAGGCUGAAUUAUUAUUAUUUUUAUUUAUUUAAUGU